UACGAAGGGGGCUAGCGUUGUUCGGAAUCACUGGGCGUAAAGCGCACGUAGGCGGAUCUUUAAGUCAGGGGUGAAAUCCCGAGGCUCAACCUCGGAACUGCCUUUGAUACUGGGGAUCUCGAGUCCGGGAGAGGUGAGUGGAACUGCGAGUGUAGAGGUGAAAUGCGUAGAUAUCUAGAGGAACACCAGAGGCGAAAGCGAAUUACUGGACAGAACCUGACGCUGAGGCACGAAAGCUAGGGGAGCAAACGGG
RNAcentral lists this ribosomal RNA (253 nucleotides) under uncultured bacterium. RNAcentral describes it as "partial 16S ribosomal RNA". It matches the Rfam family "Bacterial small subunit ribosomal RNA", at positions 524 to 776 of the family's 1533-position model. The record is from RNAcentral.